CCUUUCAAAGAAUCAUUGACCUAAAUUGCACUUUAAUGCACAUACCAUGCUGUCCACACCACCUACGUGUCUCCAGGAAUACUGCUAAAUAACGAGCACUAAAUGUUUAGUCAUUUCCUGCAUCACGUUUGCAGGAGCCGGUAGCUCCACGCUAUUAGCAUAUGUAAGUGCACUGCAGUUCAAACAGUUGGUUUCCAUAUCAGCAGCUGCUCGGUUUAAUCUCCUUUUGGGAAAGGUGCCAUGGGGAGCGUUGCAGCGAACCGCAGGUUAAUGUUUCAGCCUGCUUUCCUCCAAACUUCCAGCGAAGGGCCGCGAUGACUCAGUGCCGCGGAGAAUUCAUGUCUCAAAAAUGUCUCUCGCAAACUCUUUUUUUUUUUUUAAAGCGUGCUGUGGGAAAAUCUGACUUAAACCUCUAAUGGACAGUGCAUAAGUCCAGGGCUGCCUCGGAGGUCCGUGCCAACGAUGCCGUUUCUCCCUCGGGAAAAUAAAGUGAGACGAAGCAACUCGGCUCUCGCUACCCGAUCAGGCUACAGAAAUCUGCAUUCUUCACAAGUGAAUAGGCACCGCUGGGAAGAGGACAGCACAUCUGACCAAACUCCUGCAUCUGACCUGCGGGGUCACGGGACGGAGGAGAGGCUGCCUGAGGCUCCCUGAACAGUCAUGGGGAGCAACGGGCGUUUUGCAGACAAGGUCAAACGCCUCUCCGCUGCUGGCUAGCGCGAGGGGACCCAGCUUAGGUAUGUUGCUGUAGAGCCUGAAGAUAGGCUGAUG
This 771-nucleotide long non-coding RNA is filed under the name Dromaius novaehollandiae (emu). RNAcentral's name for it is "lncRNA (ENSDNVG00000014775.1)". The record is from RNAcentral. Lineage: Eukaryota; Metazoa; Chordata; Aves; Casuariiformes; Dromaiidae.